Molecule: long non-coding RNA, 408 nt
Organism: Rhipicephalus sanguineus (brown dog tick)
Lineage: Eukaryota; Metazoa; Arthropoda; Arachnida; Ixodida; Ixodidae
Exons: 3
Source: RefSeq, a predicted model, not a curated record
CUGUGCUGCGCAUGGCCAAGUGAGCUAAUUUGUGCCUAAUAUGCUAUAGGGAGACGUUCUCGAAAAUGAGAGGGAGUUAUGCAAGGUUGUUUUUGUUCCUUAGGGCGUUCCUGCACCCUCGAGCGGUCGCAAUAAAAGCGCGCCCGCACAACGCUGAGCGUGGCAGAAGUGACUUCGUCUUCCAGUAGCAGAACUCUCCUGCAAGCACCGAGAAAGUCACGAUGAAGAGGCUGGCGCUCAUACUGGUGGGCGUUCUUCUCUGCGAAGUUAUGCUGACGGAAGCGAUACGCCCUCCUGGAAAAUCGAACAACGCACCACGUCGCAACACUAAGCGGGAGAAGUGUGGUUAUGUCUACUGCAAACCUGGGGAGUACUGCGAGACACGCGGUCUACCGGCUCCUUCAUGUG